UUGGAAGAUAUAAUCUCAGGGGACUCUGCUGUCUUUACUUCACACAUGGACCUCAGUGUGUAUCAGUAUGGUGGGCAGAGCAGCGUCUUCAACCCCACACAUCAAGGCCUGUCAUCACUGUGAGCUCCAGAAAAGCAGAUAUGACUUCGAAGAGGCUCUGAUUUCCAUUGCAGGGCUGGCCACUGUGCAAUUUUAAUGAGCAUCAAGGCUGUUUUGGGACUCGUCUGCACCAAAACCCCCUGAGGACUUUGGAGACUGAACUCACCCGGCCCGGGUGCAGAGAUUAGACCUGAGGCCUGUUUGACUAUACUGUUAUUGUGCCAAGAGUGAACUACAGACACCACCAUGCCGAGCUCUUCUACACUGCAUAUCAGAAGUAUUUACUCAUUGUUGUGAUGUCAUAAAAUAAACAACAUAUAUGUAGUCCAUCACAGUGUUU
Centropristis striata (black sea bass) is the source of this 439-nucleotide long non-coding RNA. RefSeq lists it as uncharacterized. Lineage: Eukaryota; Metazoa; Chordata; Actinopteri; Perciformes; Serranidae. The transcript has 3 exons. The record is from RefSeq and is a predicted model, not a curated record.